RNAcentral lists this ribosomal RNA (899 nucleotides) under Pilidium lythri. RNAcentral describes it as "partial large subunit ribosomal RNA". It matches the Rfam family "Eukaryotic large subunit ribosomal RNA", at positions 38 to 964 of the family's 3401-position model. Lineage: Eukaryota; Fungi; Ascomycota; Leotiomycetes; Chaetomellales; Chaetomellaceae. The record is from RNAcentral.
GCAUAUCAAUAAGCGGAGGAAAAGAAACCAACAGGGAUUGCCUCAGUAACGGCGAGUGAAGCGGCAACAGCUCAAAUUUGAAACCUGCCAACCGGCCGGAUUGUAAUUUGUAGAGGAUGCUUUGGAGUCAGCACUGAUCUAAGUUUCUUGGAACAGUACGUCACAGAGGGUGAGAAUCCCGUUCGUGGUCGGCUGCUGGCUUCGUGUAAAGCUCCUUCGACGAGUCGAGUUGUUUGGGAAUGCAGCUCAAAAUGGGUGGUAAAUUUCAUCUAAAGCUAAAUAUUGGCCAGAGACCGAUAGCGCACAAGUAGAGUGAUCGAAAGAUGAAAAGCACUUUGGAAAGAGAGUUAAACAGCACGUGAAAUUGUUGAAAGGGAAGCGCUUGCAAUCAGACUUGCGCGUAGGUAAUCAAGGGCGGUUCGCUGCCCUGCACUUGCCUGCGCUCAGGCCAGCAUCAGUUUUGGGGGUGGGAUAAAGGCCGUGGGAAUGUGGCUCUUCGGAGUGUUAUAGCCCUCGGUGCCAUGCCGCCUCCCGAGACUGAGGACCGCGCUUCGGCUAGGAUGCUGGCGUAAUGAUUGUAAGCGACCCGUCUUGAAACACGGACCAAGGAGUCUAACAUCUAUGCGAGUGUUUGGGUGUCAAACCCACACGCGGAAUGAAAGUGAACGGAGGUGAGAGCCCUUGAGGGUGCAUCAUCGACCGAUCCUGAUGUCUUCGGAUGGAUUUGAGUAUGAGCAUAGCUGUUGGGACCCGAAAGAUGGUGAACUAUGCCUGAAUAGGGUGAAGCCAGAGGAAACUCUGGUGGAGGCUCGCAGCGGUUCUGACGUGCAAAUCGAUCGUCAAAUUUGGGCAUAGGGGCGAAAGACUAAUCGAACCAUCUAGUAGCUGGUUCCUGCCGA